GAUCCUGGCUCAGAACGACGCUGGCGGCGUGCCUAACACAUGCAAGUCGAGCGAGAAAGCCCGCAAGGGUGAGUAAAGCGGCGAACGGGUGCGUAACACGUGGGUAAUCUGCCCUAGAGUCCGGAAUAACUCGCCGAAAGGCGUGCUAAUGCCGGAUGAGACCACGGGAGCCUCGGCUCCUGCGGGAAAAGGUGGCCUCUGUACACAAGCUAUCGCUCUGGGAUGAGCCCGCGGCCCAUCAGCUCGUUGGCGGGGUAAUGGCCCACCAAGGCUACGACGGGUAGCUGGUCUGAGAGGACGAUCAGCCACACUGGAACUGAGACACGGUCCAGACUCCUACGGGAGGCAGCAGUGGGGAAUCUUGCGCAAUGGGCGAAAGCCUGACGCAGCAACGCCGCGUGUGUGAUGAAGGUCUUCGGAUCGUAAAGCACUGUCGCGAGGGACGAAUAAGGGGCGGGCUAACAUCCCGUUCCGAUGACGGUACCUCGAGAGGAAGCACCGGCUAACUCUGUGCCAGCAGCCGCGGUAA
RNAcentral lists this ribosomal RNA (529 nucleotides) under uncultured delta proteobacterium. Its description in RNAcentral is "bacterial SSU rRNA". It matches the Rfam family "Bacterial small subunit ribosomal RNA", at positions 15 to 523 of the family's 1533-position model. Lineage: Bacteria; Deltaproteobacteria. The record is from RNAcentral.